Molecule: ribosomal RNA, 1346 nt
Filed under: uncultured bacterium
Lineage: Bacteria
Description: partial 16S ribosomal RNA
Rfam family: Bacterial small subunit ribosomal RNA
Source: RNAcentral
GACGAACGUUGGCGGCGUGCUUAACACAUGCAAGUCGAACGGAAAGGCCCUGCUUUUGUGGGGUGCUCGAGUGGCGAACGGGUGAGUAACACGUGAGUAACCUGCCCUUGACUUUGGGAUAACUUCAGGAAACUGGGGCUAAUACCGGAUAGGAGCUCCUGCUGCAUGGUGGGGGUUGGAAAGUUUCGGCGGUUGGGGAUGGACUCGCGGCUUAUCAGCUUGUUGGUGGGGUAGUGGCUUACCAAGGCUUUGACGGGUAGCCGGCCUGAGAGGGUGACCGGCCACAUUGGGACUGAGAUACGGCCCAGACUCCUACGGGAGGCAGCAGUGGGGAAUAUUGCACAAUGGGCGGAAGCCUGAUGCAGCAACGCCGCGUGCGGGAUGACGGCCUUCGGGUUGUAAACCGCUUUCGCCUGUGACGAAGCGUGAGUGACGGUAAUGGGUAAAGAAGCACCGGCUAACUACGUGCCAGCAGCCGCGGUGAUACGUAGGGUGCGAGCGUUGUCCGGAUUUAUUGGGCGUAAAGGGCUCGUAGGUGGUUGAUCGCGUCGGAAGUGUAAUCUUGGGGCUUAACCCUGAGCGUGCUUUCGAUACGGGUUGACUUGAGGAAGGUAGGGGAGAAUGGAAUUCCUGGUGGAGCGGUGGAAUGCGCAGAUAUCAGGAGGAACACCAGUGGCGAAGGCGGUUCUCUGGGCCUUUCCUGACGCUGAGGAGCGAAAGCGUGGGGAGCGAACAGGCCUAGAUACCCUGGUAGUCCACGCUGUAAACGGUGGGUACUAGGUGUGGGGUCCAUUCCACGGGUUCCGUGCCGUAGCUAACGCUUUAAGUACCCCGCCUGGGGAGUACGGCCGCAAGGCUAAAACUCAAAGGAAUUGACGGGGCCCCGCACAAGCGGCGGAGCAUGCGGAUUAAUUCGAUGCAACGCGUAGAACCUUACCUGGGUUUGACAUGGAUCGGGAGUGCUCAGAGAUGGGUGUGCCUCUUUUGGGGUCGGUUCACAGGUGGUGCAUGGCUGUCGUCAGCUCGUGUCGUGAGAUGUUGGGUUAAGUCCCGCAACGAGCGCAACCCUUGUUCACUGUUGCCAGCACGUUAUGGUGGGGACUCAGUGGAGACCGCCGGGGUCAACUCGGAGGAAGGUGGGGAUGACGUCAAGUCAUCAUGCCCCUUAUGUCCAGGGCUUCACGCAUGCUACAAUGGCUGGUACAGAGAGUGGCGAGCCUGUGAGGGUGAGCGAAUCUCGGAAAGCCGGUCUCAGUUCGGAUUGGGGUCUGCAACUCGACCUCAUGAAGUCGGAGUCGCUAGUAAUCGCAGAUCAGCAACGCUGCGGUGAAUACGUUCCCGGGGCU